This 120-nucleotide non-coding RNA is filed under the name Proteiniborus sp. DW1. RNAcentral describes it as "Molybdenum/Tungsten riboswitch aptamer (Moco RNA motif)". It matches the Rfam family "Molybdenum/Tungsten riboswitch aptamer (Moco RNA motif)". The record is from Rfam by way of RNAcentral. RNAcentral also lists the same sequence under 1 other name. Lineage: Bacteria; Bacillati; Bacillota; Clostridia; Eubacteriales.
GAAAUAGAAUAACUCCGAGUUUAUAAUCCUAAAGACAAGAGUCAAUGGAUAUAAGCCUAUGGGUAUGAAUAGAAAUGUUCAUGCCUCCCGUGUUUGGAAAGGAGGAUUUUUUACCGACAU